Molecule: ribosomal RNA, 524 nt
Filed under: uncultured bacterium
Lineage: Bacteria
Description: partial 16S ribosomal RNA
Rfam family: Bacterial small subunit ribosomal RNA
Source: RNAcentral
GACGAACGCUGGCGGCGUGCCUAAUACAUGCAAGUCGAACGAAGCCGUUUUAACUGGUGCUUGCACCGACUUAAACAACUGAGUGGCGAACGGGUGAGUAACACGUGGGUAACCUGCCCCAAAGCGGGGGAUAACAUUUGGAAACAGAUGCUAUUACCGCAUAACCACAGAAACCACAUGGUUUCUGUGUCAAAGAUGGUUUCGGCUAUCACUUUGGGAGUGACCCGCGGCGUAUUAGCAAGUUGGUAAGGUAAUGGCUUACCAAGGCAAUGAUACGUAGCCGAACUGAGAGGUUGAUCGGCCACAUUGGGACUGAGACACGGCCCAAACUCCUACGGGAGGCAGCAGUAGGGAAUCUUCCACAAUGGACGAAAGUCUGAUGGAGCAACGCCGCGUGAGUGAAGAAGGUUUUCGGAUCGUAAAACUCUGUUGUCAGAGAAGAACGUGUGCGAGAGUAACUGCUCGUGCAGUGACGGUAUCUGGCCAGAAAGCCACGGCUAACUACGUGCCAGCCGCCGCCGUAA